This 2909-nucleotide ribosomal RNA is filed under the name Idiomarina fontislapidosi. RNAcentral describes it as "23S ribosomal RNA". It matches the Rfam family "Bacterial large subunit ribosomal RNA". Lineage: Bacteria; Pseudomonadati; Pseudomonadota; Gammaproteobacteria; Alteromonadales; Idiomarinaceae. The record is from RNAcentral.
GUUGUAUGGUUAAGUGACUAAGCGUACACGGUGGAUGCCUAGGCAGUUGGAGGCGAUGAAGGACGUACUAACUUGCGAUAAGCCAUGACGAGACAGUAAGAGUCGUUAUCAGUCAUGGAUUUCCGAAUGGGGCAACCCACUCUGUUUACAGAGUAUCCGGCACUGAAUAUAUAGGUGCCUGGAGGCAAACCCGGAGAACUGAAACAUCUAAGUACCCGGAGGAAAAGAAAUCAACCGAGAUUUCCCUAGUAGCGGCGAGCGAACGGGAAGCAGCCCUUAAGCUUACAAUGUGUUAGCAGAAUCUGUUGGGAAGCAGAGCCAUAGACGGUGAUAGCCCGGUAUGUGACGGCACAUAGUAAGUGAAAUCGAGUAGGUCGGGACACGUGUUAUCUUGACUGAAUAUGGGGGGACCAUCCUCCAAGGCUAAAUACUCCCAACUGACCGAUAGUGAACCAGUACCGUGAGGGAAAGGCGAAAAGAACCCCGGCGAGGGGAGUGAAAUAGAACCUGAAACCGUGUACGUACAAGCAGUAGGAGCCUCCUUGUGGGGUGACUGCGUACCUUUUGUAUAAUGGGUCAGCGACUUAUAUUUUGUAGCAAGGUUAACCGAAUAGGGGAGCCGUAGGGAAACCGAGUCUUAACUGGGCGUUGAGUUGCAAGGUAUAGACCCGAAACCGGGCGAUCUAGCCAUGAGCAGGUUGAAGAUUGAGUAACAUCAAUUGGAGGACCGAACCCACUAAUGUUGAAAAAUUAGGGGAUGACUUGUGGUUAGGAGUGAAAGGCUAAUCAAGCCCGGAGAUAGCUGGUUCUCCCCGAAAUCUAUUUAGGUAGAGCCUCGGAUGAAUACCUACGGGGGUAGAGCACUGUUUGGGCUAGGGGGUCAUCCCGACUUACCAACCCCAUGCAAACUCCGAAUACCGUAGAGUACUAUCCGGGAGACACACGGCGGGUGCUAACGUCCGUCGUGGAGAGGGAAACAACCCAGACCGCCAGCUAAGGUCCCAAAGUUAUGGCUCAGUGGGAAACGAUGUGGGAAGGCAUAGACAGCUAGGAGGUUGGCUUAGAAGCAGCCACCCUUUAAAGAAAGCGUAAUAGCUCACUAGUCGAGUCGGCCUGCGCGGAAGAUGUAACGGGGCUAAGCCAUACACCGAAGCUGCGGCAGCGCAUUUAUGUGCUGGGUAGGGGAGCGUUCUGUAAGCGGAUGAAGGUGUGUUGAGAAGCAUGCUGGACGUAUCAGAAGUGCGAAUGCUGACAUGAGUAACGAUAAUGCGGGUGAAAAACCCGCACGCCGGAAGACCAAGGUUUCCUAUCCCAUGCUAAUCAGGGUAGGGUAAGUCGGCCCCUAAGGCGAGGCGGAAACGCGUAGUCGAUGGGAAACAGGUUAAUAUUCCUGUACCGACAUGUACUGCGAUGGGGGGACGGAGAAGGCUAGGUGGGCCAGGCGUUGGUAGUCCUGGUGAAAGUUAGUAGGCUGAGGGUUUAGGCAAAUCCGGACCCUUAAGGCCGAGAAACGAGACGAGUACCUACGGGUACGAAGCCAUUGAUGCCCUGCUUCCGGGAAAAGCCUCUAAGCUUCAGGUACAUGUCGACCGUACCCGAAACCGACACAGGUGGUCAGGUAGAGAAUACUAAGGCGCUUGAGAGAACUCGGGUGAAGGAACUAGGCAAAAUAGUACCGUAACUUCGGGAGAAGGUACGCCACCUUUGGUGAAGACUUCGCGUCGUAAGCUGAAGGUGGUCGCAGUGACCAGGUGGCUGGGACUGUUUAUUAAAAACACAGCACUCUGCUAACUCGAAAGAGGACGUAUAGGGUGUGACACCUGCCCGGUGCCGGAAGGUUAAUUGAUGGGGUUAGCGUAAGCGAAGCUCUUGAUCGAAGCCCCGGUAAACGGCGGCCGUAACUAUAACGGUCCUAAGGUAGCGAAAUUCCUUGUCGGGUAAGUUCCGACCUGCACGAAUGGUGUAACCAUGGCCACGCUGUCUCCACCCGAGACUCAGUGAAAUUGAAAUCGCUGUGAAGAUGCAGUGUACCCGCGGCUAGACGGAAAGACCCCGUGAACCUUUACUACAGCUUGGCACUGAACAUUGAACCUACAUGUGUAGGAUAGGUGGGAGGCUUUGAAGCACUGGCGCUAGUUGGUGUGGAGCCAUCCUUGAAAUACCACCCUUGUAUGUUUGAUGUUCUAACCUAGCACCCUCAUCGGGUGUGGGGACAGUGCCUGGUGGGUAGUUUGACUGGGGCGGUCUCCUCCCAAAGAGUAACGGAGGAGCACGAAGGUUGGCUAAGUACGGUCGGACAUCGUACGGUUAGUGUAAUGGCAGAAGCCAGCUUAACUGCGAGACAGACACGUCGAGCAGAUACGAAAGUAGGUCAUAGUGAUCCGGUGGUUCUGAAUGGAAGGGCCAUCGCUCAACGGAUAAAAGGUACUCCGGGGAUAACAGGCUGAUACCGCCCAAGAGUUCAUAUCGACGGCGGUGUUUGGCACCUCGAUGUCGGCUCAUCACAUCCUGGGGCUGAAGUCGGUCCCAAGGGUAUGGCUGUUCGCCAUUUAAAGUGGUACGCGAGCUGGGUUUAGAACGUCGUGAGACAGUUCGGUCCCUAUCUGCCGUGGGCGUUUGAGAGUUGAGAGGAGCUGCUCCUAGUACGAGAGGACCGGAGUGGACGAACCUCUGGUGUUCCGGUUGUCACGCCAGUGGCACUGCCGGGUAGCUAAGUUCGGAAUCGAUAACCGCUGAAAGCAUCUAAGCGGGAAGCGAGCCUCGAGAUAAGCUCUCACUAGCACAUUAAGUGCUCUGAAGGGUCGUUGAAGACGACGACGUUGAUAGGCGGGGUGUGGAAGCGUUGUAAGGCGUUGAGCUAACCCGUACUAAUUGCCCGUGAGACUUAACCAUACAACACCCAAGGUGUU